AUAUUACUAAGCGGAGGAAAAGAAACCAACAGGGAUUGCCUCAGUAACGGCGAGUGAAGCGGCAACAGCUCAAAUUUGAAAUCUGGCCUCUGGCCCGAGUUGUAAUUUGCAGAGGAUGCUUCGGGCGCGGUGCCUUCCAAGUCCCCUGGAACGGGGCGCCGGAGAGGGUGAGAGCCCCGUACGGUUGGCGGCCAAGCCUGUGUGAAGCUCCUUCGACGAGUCGAGUAGUUUGGGAAUGCUGCUCUAAGCGGGAGGUAGACCCCUUCUAAAGCUAAAUACCGGCCAGAGACCGAUAGCGCACAAGUAGAGUGAUCGAAAGAUGAAAAGAACUUUGAAAAGAGAGUCAAAAGACUUGAAAUCGUUGAGAAGGAAGCGGUAGAAAUUUAUUCUUCGGCAUUCAUCUUAGGUUUUCACUUAACUAUUCCGGAGCUAAGGUACGCAAGGCCUGGCGUUGGACUUGGGGAAGUGGGGCUGUGGUGGGUGUUGUGAGGCAAAAUGGGAUUGUAUUUCUGCAAAGGUGCUUGUCGCUUAGGGGGCUUCGGCUCUCAACGAUGGGUGUGCCGGUAGGGGUAUAGUCCGAGGGGCUUUGUGCGAUUUUGCCAAAAUGGUUUUUACCGA
RNAcentral lists this ribosomal RNA (618 nucleotides) under uncultured fungus. RNAcentral's name for it is "eukaryotic LSU rRNA". It matches the Rfam family "Eukaryotic large subunit ribosomal RNA", at positions 40 to 647 of the family's 3401-position model. Lineage: Eukaryota; Fungi. The record is from RNAcentral.